UACGUAGGUGGCAAGCGUUGUCCGGAUUUACUGGGCGUAAAGAGCGCGCAGGCGGUCGUUCAAGUCGCGUGUGAAAGCCCCCGGCUCAACUGGGGAGGGUCACGCGAUACUGAUCGACUCGAAGGCAGGAGAGGGUAGUGGAAUUCCCGGUGUAGUGGUGAAAUGCGCAGAUAUCAGGAGGAACACCAAUGGCGAAGGCAGCUCGCUGGGACGGUACUGACGCUGAGGCGCGAAAGCGUGGGGAGCAAACAGG
RNAcentral lists this ribosomal RNA (253 nucleotides) under uncultured bacterium. RNAcentral's name for it is "partial 16S ribosomal RNA". It matches the Rfam family "Bacterial small subunit ribosomal RNA", at positions 524 to 776 of the family's 1533-position model. The record is from RNAcentral.